AGCCUACGGGGCGCAGCAGUGAGGAAUAUUGGUCAAUGGGCGAGAGCCUGAACCAGCCAAGUCGCGUGAGGGAGUACUGCCCUAUGGGUUGUAAACCUCUUUUGUCGGGGAGCAAAAGCCGGACGUGUCCGGCUGUGAGAGUACCCGAAGAAAAAGCAUCGGCUAACUCCGUGCCAGCAGCCGCGGUAAUACGGAGGAUGCGAGCGUUAUCCGGAUUUAUUGGGUUUAAAGGGUGCGUAGGCGGGCAUUUAAGCCGGCGGUCAAAUGUCGGGGCUCAACCCCGGCCUGCCGUCGGAACUGGGUGG
RNAcentral lists this ribosomal RNA (305 nucleotides) under uncultured bacterium. RNAcentral describes it as "bacterial SSU rRNA". It matches the Rfam family "Bacterial small subunit ribosomal RNA", at positions 335 to 640 of the family's 1533-position model. The record is from RNAcentral.